Molecule: ribosomal RNA, 440 nt
Filed under: uncultured Caulobacter sp.
Lineage: Bacteria; Pseudomonadati; Pseudomonadota; Alphaproteobacteria; Caulobacterales; Caulobacteraceae
Description: bacterial SSU rRNA
Rfam family: Bacterial small subunit ribosomal RNA
Source: RNAcentral
CCUACGGGUGGCAGCAGUGGGGAAUCUUGCGCAAUGGGCGAAAGCCUGACGCAGCCAUGCCGCGUGAAUGAUGAAGGUCUUAGGAUUGUAAAAUUCUUUCACCGGGGACGAUAAUGACGGUACCCGGAGAAGAAGCCCCGGCUAACUUCGUGCCAGCAGCCGCGGUAAUACGAAGGGGGCUAGCGUUGCUCGGAAUUACUGGGCGUAAAGGGAGCGUAGGCGGACUGUUAAGUUAGAGGUGAAAGCCCAGGGCUCAAGCAUGGAUUUGCCUUUGAGACUGGCGGUGUUAAGUGGGGAAGAGGUAGGGGGAACUCCGAGUGUGGGGGUGAAAUUCGUAGAUAUUCGGAAGAACCCCAGGGGCGAAGGCGACAUACUGUUCGGUUACUGACGCUGAGGCUUGAAAGCGUGGGGAGCAAACGGGAUUAGAUACCCUUGUAGUC